Molecule: ribosomal RNA, 568 nt
Filed under: uncultured bacterium
Lineage: Bacteria
Description: bacterial SSU rRNA
Rfam family: Bacterial small subunit ribosomal RNA
Source: RNAcentral
GAGAGAAGCUUGCUUCUCUCUGAUUUAGCGGCGGACGGGUGAGUAACACGUGGGUAACCUGCCUUGUAGACUGGGAUAACUUCGGGAAACCGGAGCUAAUACCGGAUAAUACUUUUGAACUCAUGUUCGGAAGUUGAAAGAUGGUUUCGGCUAUCACUAUAAGAUGGACCCGCGGCGCAUUGGCUAGUUGGUGAGGUAAUGGCUCACCAAGGCAACGAUGCGUAGCCGACCUGAGAGGGUGAUCGGCCACACUGGGACUGAGACACGGCCCAGACUCCUACGGGAGGCAGCAGUAGGGAAUCUUCCACAAUGGACGAAAGUCUGAUGGAGCAACGCCGCGUGAGUGAUGAAGGAUUUCGGUUCGUAAAACUCUGUUGUAAGGGAAGAACAAGUAGCGUAGUAACUGGCGUUACCUUGACGGUACCUUAUUAGAAGGCCACGGCUAACUACGUGCCAGCAGCCGCGGUAAUACGUAGGUGGCAAGCGUUGUCCGGAAUUAUUGGGCGUAAAGCGCGCGCAGGUGGUUCCUUAAGUCUGAUGUGAAAGCCCCCGGCUCAACCGGGGAGGG